UGGGGAAUAUUGGACAAUGGGCGCAAGCCUGAUCCAGCCAUGCCGCGUGAGUGAUGAAGGCCUUAGGGUUGUAAAGCUCUUUUUACCAGGGAUGAUAAUGACAGUACCUGGAGAAUAAGCUCCGGCUAACUCCGUGCCAGCAGCCGCGGUAAUACGGAGGGAGCUAGCGUUGUUCGGAAUUACUGGGCGUAAAGCGUACGUAGGCGGUGACUCAAGUCAGAGGUGAAAGCCUGGAGCUCAACUCCAGAACUGCCUUUGAAACUAGGUCGCUAGAAUCACGGAGAGGUGAGUGGAAUUCCGAGUGUAGAGGUGAAAUUCGUAGAUAUUCGGAAGAACACCAGUGGCGAAGGCGGCUCACUGGACGUGUAUUGACGCUGAGGUACGAAAGCGUGGGGAGCAAACAGGAUUAGAUACCCUUGUAGUCCCUGAGCGGGCUGGCAAGGCG
Molecule: ribosomal RNA, 445 nt
Filed under: uncultured bacterium
Lineage: Bacteria
Description: bacterial SSU rRNA
Rfam family: Bacterial small subunit ribosomal RNA
Source: RNAcentral